Molecule: ribosomal RNA, 256 nt
Filed under: uncultured bacterium
Lineage: Bacteria
Description: partial 16S ribosomal RNA
Rfam family: Bacterial small subunit ribosomal RNA
Source: RNAcentral
UACAGAGGUCCCAAGCGUUGUUCGGAUUCACUGGGCGUAAAGGGCGCGUAGGUGGCCACUUCAAGCGUGCGGUGAAAGUCGGGGGCUCAACCCCUGAUCGGCCGUGCGAACUGGGGGGCUGGAGCACUGUAGAGGCAGGCGGAAUUCCGGGUGUAGCGGUGGAAUGCGUAGAGAUCCGGAAGAACACCGGUGGCGAAGGCGGCCUGCUGGGCAGUUUUGCUGACACUGAGGCGCGACAGCGUGGGGAGCAAACAGG